RNAcentral lists this ribosomal RNA (728 nucleotides) under uncultured bacterium. RNAcentral's name for it is "bacterial SSU rRNA". It matches the Rfam family "Bacterial small subunit ribosomal RNA", at positions 94 to 801 of the family's 1533-position model. The record is from RNAcentral.
AGUGGCGAACGGGUGAGUAACGCGUAGGCAAUCUGCCUUCUAGAUGGGGACAACAUCCCGAAAGGGGUGCUAAUACCGAAUGUUGUAGUAUUUCCGCAUGGAGAUGCUACUAAAGGUGGCCUCUGAAUAUGCUACCGCUAGAAGAUGAGCCUGCGUCUGAUUAGCUAGUUGGAGGGGUAACGGCCCACCAAGGCUUCGAUCAGUAGCCGGUCUGAGAGGAUGAACGGCCACACUGGGACUGAGACACGGCCCAGACUCCUACGGGAGGCAGCAGUGGGGAAUCUUCCGCAAUGGACGAAAGUCUGACGGAGCAACGCCGCGUGAGUGAAGAAGGUUUUCGGAUCGUAAAGCUCUUUCGUCAGGGACGAACGUAUUUCUUGUAAAUAAUGAGAGAUAGUGACGGUACCUGAAUAAGAAGCCACGGCUAACUACGUGCCAGCAGCCGCGGUAAUACGUAGGUGGCAAGCGUUGUCCGGAAUUAUUGGGCGUAAAGCGCGCGCAGGCGGGAUAUCAAGUCUGUCUUAAAAGUGCGAGGCUCAACCUCGUGAGGGGACAGAAACUGGUAUUCUUGAGUGUCGGAGAGGAAAGUGGAAUUCCAAGUGUAGCGGUGAAAUGCGUAGAGAUUUGGAAGAACACCAGUGGCGAAGGCGACUUUCUGGACGAUGUCUGACGCUGAGGCGCGAAAGCUAGGGGAGCGAACGGGAUUAGAUACCCCGGUAGUCCUAGCC